GGUGAGUUGCUGCGGGGCGCCUCUGCGGGGCCAGGGGAAGUGCCAGCCCAAGCUCCGAGGUCCACCUGGCAUAGUGCAGUGAUGCCCCUCCUUGCCCCCGCCGCAGCCACGGUGUUCCUGGAGAUCUGGAAGCGGCAGCGCGCCCGCGUGGUCCUGCACUGGGACCUGUACGUGUGGGACGAGGAACAGGAGGAAAUGGCACUUCAGCUCAUUAACUGCCCCGACUACAAGCUCCGGCCAUACCAGCACUCCUACCUACGCAGCACCGUCAUCCUCGUCCUGACCCUGCUCAUGAUCUGCCUCAUGAUCGGCAUGGCCCACGUCCUGGUGGUCUACCGCGUCCUGGCCUCCGCGCUCUUCAGCAGCUCGGCCGUGUCCUUCCUGGAGGAGCGGGUGACCACGGCCGUGGUAGUGACCGGGGCUCUGGUGCACUAUGUGACCAUCGUCAUCAUGACCAAGGUGGGGCCGGGAGCAGGGCAGGCCCGAGCUGGGGGGUCCACCGGAGCCCCAGUGAGCCCAUUCGGUGCCCUCCUCCGCAGAUCAACAGGCGCGUGGCCCUGAAGCUUUGUGACUUCGAGAUGCCCAGGACCUUCUCGGAGCGAGAGAGCAGGUUCACCAUCCGCUUCUUCACGCUGCAGUUCUUCACCCAUUUCUCGUCUCUCAUCUACAUCGCCUUCAUCCUGGGCAGGAUCAACGGCCACCCCGGGAAGUCCACGCGCCUGGCGGGCUUGUGGAAGCUGGAAGAGUGCCACGCCAGCGGCUGCAUGAUGGACCUCUUCGUGCAGAUGGCCAUCAUCAUGGGCCUGAAGCAGACGCUCAGCAACUGCGUCGAGUACCUGGUCCCGUGGGUGACCCACAAGUGCCGCUCUCUGCGGGCCUCCGAGUCCGGGCACCUGCCCCGGGACCCCGAGCUCAGGGACUGGCGGCGCAACUACCUUCUGAACCCGGUCAACACCUUCAGCCUGUUCGACGAGUUCAUGGAGAUGAUGAUCCAGUACGGCUUCACCACCAUCUUCGUGGCUGCCUUCCCGCUGGCGCCGCUGCUCGCGCUCUUCAGCAACCUCGUGGAGAUCCGCCUGGACGCCAUCAAGAUGGUCUGGUUGCAGCGGCGCCUGGUGCCGCGCAAGGCCAAGGACAUCGGUCAGACCGGGCGGGCGCAGGAUGGGCGGGAACUGGGCGGCCUCAGGCCUGUGGGCUUCCCGCUGGCCAGUCCAGCUCACCUGGAGAAAAAUAAUCUCUCGGAUCUCACGCCGCAGACAGCCCCCAGCCCUUCUCCGACGGCCUCGGAUGCGGGUUGAGCCUGGGUGGGAAAGUCCCAGGAGUGGGCGGGGCCGAGCGCUUUGUAGGCUCCUCCCACAAACCGUCAGGAUCUCAGAGGGGCUUGACGCCCCCAAGGGGGACCCAGGUUCUGCCAGUGGCUGGGGCAGGAACAGAGCAGCCGGCCUCUGUCCCAAGACUGGCCUCGCUGAGACGGACAGGCAGCAGGGGAGCGACGGGGGCUGGGGCGCUGGAUGUGGGGAAAGGGAGAGAGGUGUUAGGGAGGCCCCCAGUCUCGGGCCCGGGUUACAAGGUCUUACCCUGGGGUGGGAACCCAGGAGGUGGAGUGGCUGGGGGGCACAGCUGAGAAGUUCAGGAAGAUGGAGGAUGAGGAUUCCCAGGUUCCUCCCUGUCCAUGUCAGGGUGAGGGGUGCAGGAGCGCAGAGGCCAUGCUCUGCCAUGGCUGGGGACUUCCUUGUGAAUACUGCAGCCCUAGGGCUGCAAGGGGACACCACGCACAGAGACACGGCAGGCCCCGUGUUGGCCGGGGGUGGGGGUGGGGGCAGAACCAGCCGAGGGACACCACGCAGAGACACGGCAGGCCCCGUGUUGGCCGGGGGUGGGGGUAGGGGCAGAACCAGCCGAGGGAUGCUGAGUCAGACCGCUUGCCCACUGCUCUGGUGCAGGGACCUGGCUGCAGGUGCUGGAGACCAUCGGUGUGCUGGCGGUCAUUGCCAAUGGGAUGGUCAUUGCCUUCACAUCUGAGUUCAUCCCCCGAGUGGUCUACAAGUACCGCUAUAGCCCAUGCCUGAAAGAAGGCAACUCUACCGUCGACUGCCUCAAGGGCUACGUCAACCACAGCCUGUCCGUCUUCCACACCAAGGACUUCCAGGACCCUGAUGGGAUUGAGGGCUCAGAAAACGUGACUCUGUGCAGGUUUGGAACUCCCCAUCCCCCAAGAAUGCCCUCUGAACUCCUGACCCCUGACCUCAGGUACUUCCUUACCCCAGAUACAGGGACUACCGCAAUCCCCCCGAUUACAACUUCUCCGAGAAGUUCUGGUUCCUCCUGGCCAUCCGCCUGGCCUUCGUCAUCCUCUUUGAGCACGUGGCCUUGUGCAUCAAGCUCAUUGCCGCCUGGUUCGUGCCCGACAUCCCUCAGUCGGUGAAGAACAAGGUUCUGGAGGUGAAGUACCAGAGGCUGCGUGAGAAGAUGUGGCAUGGAAGGCAGAGGCUGGGCGGGGUGGGGGCAGGCUCUCGGCCCCCGAUGCCUGCCCAUCCCACCCCAGCAUCCAUCUUCAGUGCCAGGAGCACAGACGUGUAGGGCCAGAGCCCGUCCAGAGGCCACCAGGAGCUGACAGUGCCACCACCAGCACCUCCCACAAGCCCACCGCUGUGCGUGUUGAGGGGUGCCGUGAGAAGUCUGUGCCCAUGUGGGGCUGCAGGAGUCCCCUGUAUGUUCAGGGCUGUGAGCUGCCACCCUAUUCUGCCUGCUUCGUCUUUGUGGGGGCUCUCAGGCUUGGCACAGCCCUGACUUGAACUCUGGGUGACCCCGGGCACCCACAGAACUGGGAGUGAGGGCUCCUCAGGCAGCCACAAGGCAGGAAAACUGGCACAAGUUUCCUGGGCCUCCCUCUGACUUCUGGGCGCCAGAUCCUGCCGUGCCCCCAUCCUGGCUGUUGGGGGUGUCCUGAGCCCACCUCGCUGGCCUGUUCCCUUCAGCCAGCCCCAGUUUCUGUAAUAAAAUUAAACCUGUCUGUCU
RNAcentral lists this small RNA (3018 nucleotides) under Pan troglodytes (chimpanzee). RNAcentral describes it as "retained intron". Lineage: Eukaryota; Metazoa; Chordata; Mammalia; Primates; Hominidae. The record is from RNAcentral.